RNAcentral lists this ribosomal RNA (300 nucleotides) under uncultured bacterium. Its description in RNAcentral is "bacterial SSU rRNA". It matches the Rfam family "Bacterial small subunit ribosomal RNA", at positions 29 to 321 of the family's 1533-position model. The record is from RNAcentral.
AAUGAACGCUGGCGGCGCGCCUAAUACAUGCAAGUCGAGCGAGAAGACGUAGCAAUACGUUUGUAAAGCGGCGAACGGGUGAGGAAUACAUGGGUAACCUACCCUCGAGUGGGGAAUAACUAGCCGAAAGGUUAGCUAAUACCGCGUACGCUUCUUGGACUUCGGUUCAGGGAGGAAAGCGAUGCCGAGGGUAUCGCGCUCUCGGAUGGGCUCAUGUCCUAUCAGCUUGGGUGAGGUAACGGCUCACCAAGGCUUCGACGGGUAGCUGGUCUGAGAGGACGAUCAGCCACACUGGGCACU